Molecule: long non-coding RNA, 1265 nt
Filed under: Zonotrichia albicollis (white-throated sparrow)
Lineage: Eukaryota; Metazoa; Chordata; Aves; Passeriformes; Passerellidae
Description: lncRNA (ENSZALG00000014390.1)
Source: RNAcentral
GUGACUGAAACUUGCUACUGGUUCAUUUCAGCUACAUCCACCGAACCGUAACUCACUACUGCAUACAAGUUCAGCAGGAACAUUCCCAAAACCCCCGUAGAAGAAAUUUACGGUUGCUCAACGCUCUGUUACUGGCGGCCACAACUGUGUGUGCUCCACAUGUCUUUGUAAUCACUUAAUGACUCAUUUCCUUAAUCUCUCAUUUCCUAUAGCCUUAUUACAAGCAAUUCAUAAACCCAGAUCCUUAGCUGUUCUCUGGCUGUAGUCAGGAAGCACUGAACUGACUGCAUCUGGUUGGUUGGCUGAAGUACCCCUCUCUGUUCUCCUCUGAAACUUUCCACUGGACCCUGUCUUUUGCUGCAGUGACACCUACUGAUGAGAAGCUACUGGAGAAAUGGAAGAGGAUGACCCCUGGUACCCAAACGGAAGAUGGAAGUUAAUCUCCAUCUAAUCAAGACCCCGUGGAAUGUGUAUGUUCGGGAAGAAAUGAGAAAGAAGAACUUUUUCUUACCAGGACACACACAUCUGAGCAGCUCCUAGGUGAGAAAAAAGCAAGUGAACCACUUCCCACAGAAGCAAAAAGUGUCUCAAAGUUGCCCCGUGAAAUGGAUCAUUCCCUGAUUUAGGAAGAGGCUGUGAAAAUAUCCUGGCAAGUGCUGAGAGUGCUGCAGGGGCCAAGUCUCUCCCAAUUAUUUUGCCUCCCAAGAUCUUGUCUGCUGGCUGGAUCAGACCAUGCGAGAAGGAAAAUGAUGAAAAGAGGAGAAAGUGUGUCCUGGUAGACAUGGCUGAUCUCACACGAAAUUUGGAGAAAGGUGAGGAUGAAAAGUAAAAAGUAAAAUAUAUCUUCUUUUUUAUCAUGUAAAGAACCUUGAUUCAAACUAGGAGGUGGUCAAGCUGAAACUGGAAAUUUAGGGAAAGCUCUUAACUUCCUCCAAAUAGCUGUAUGUAGGGUUAGGCAAACACCCCAAAUUAACAUGGCCUUCCUCAGGGUUUUGUUGUCUCGGUACUACCCUGGGAGCAUGGCUGUGAUAUUUGAGAACCUAUAGUUGCUGCAACUAAGAUCCAGCUGUGAAAGUGAUGAUAUGCAGUAGUGACUAGGAAUAGCAGGGAACCAAACUUCAGUGACCCAAAUGCCUCUUGUAAUUCUCUAAAAAAAUUCUUUCUUUGACUGCAUUUAACAGCCAGACUUCCAUUCAAUACCAAUGGGGUGCACUGAGGGUGGCUUGUACCUGGGGAUGCAUGUGUCUUUCAAAUUGAUUUCUGGG